Molecule: transfer RNA, 74 nt
Filed under: Candidatus Moraniibacteriota bacterium
Lineage: Bacteria; Candidatus Moraniibacteriota
Description: Candidatus Moranbacteria bacterium (sediment metagenome) tRNA-Arg
Rfam family: tRNA
About the family: Transfer RNA (tRNA) molecules are approximately 80 nucleotides in length.
Source: RNAcentral
GUUCUCAUAGCUCAGCUGGAUAGAGCGCAGGUUUCCGGAACCUGAGGUCAGAGGUUCAAAUCCUCUUGAGAACA